Molecule: ribosomal RNA, 613 nt
Filed under: uncultured bacterium
Lineage: Bacteria
Description: partial 16S ribosomal RNA
Rfam family: Bacterial small subunit ribosomal RNA
Source: RNAcentral
UCGGUACCUCGCGAUGCUCUAGAUUAGAGUUUGAUCCUGGCUCGGAGAACGCUGGCGGCGCACAUAAGACAUGCAGUCGAACGGAAUUUAGUUGAAUGUUUACAUGAGACGAAAUUUAGUGGCGGACGGGUGAGUAACACGUGAGCAACCUACCUUUAGGAGGGGGAUAACAUUGAGAAAUCAGUGCUAAUACCGCAUAAUGCAUAAGCUUCACAUGGAGCAUAUGCCAAAGGAGUAAUCCACCUAAAGAUGGGCUCGCGGCUGAUUAGCCAGUUGGUGGGGUAACGGCCUACCAAAGCGAUGAUCAGUAGCCGAGCUGAGAGGCACACGGCCACAUUGGGACUGAGACACGGCCCAGACUCCUACGGGAGGCAGCAGUCGGGAUAUUGCACAUGGAGGAAACUCUGAUGCAGUGACGCCGCGUACAGGAGAAGUCUUUGGAUUGUAACUGUUGUCGACAGGGAAAAAUGACAGUACCUGUGGAGGAAGCUCCGCAACUACGUGCAGCAGCGCGUAUACGUAGUGGCAGCGUGUCCGAUAUUGGGCGUAAGCGCAUGUAGCGGUAUUUAGUCUUCGUGAACUGCGGGCUCACCCGUAUGCGAUGAACUGGUAC